This 1360-nucleotide ribosomal RNA is filed under the name uncultured bacterium. RNAcentral's name for it is "bacterial SSU rRNA". It matches the Rfam family "Bacterial small subunit ribosomal RNA", at positions 28 to 1381 of the family's 1533-position model. The record is from RNAcentral.
AUUGAACGCUGGCGGCAGGCCUAACACAUGCAAGUCGAGCGGUAGCACAGAGAGCUUGCUCUCGGGUGACGAGCGGCGGACGGGUGAGUAAUGUCUGGGAAACUGCCUGAUGGAGGGGGAUAACUACUGGAAACGGUAGCUAAUACCGCAUAACGUCGCAAGACCAAAGUGGGGGACCUUCGGGCCUCAUGCCAUCAGAUGUGCCCAGAUGGGAUUAGCUAGUAGGUGGGGUAAUGGCUCACCUAGGCGACGAUCCCUAGCUGGUCUGAGAGGAUGACCAGCCACACUGGAACUGAGACACGGUCCAGACUCCUACGGGAGGCAGCAGUGGGGAAUAUUGCACAAUGGGCGCAAGCCUGAUGCAGCCAUGCCGCGUGUGUGAAGAAGGCCUUCGGGUUGUAAAGCACUUUCAGCGGGGAGGAAGGCGAUAAGGUUAAUAACCUCAUCGAUUGACGUUACCCGCAGAAGAAGCACCGGCUAACUCCGUGCCAGCAGCCGCGGUAAUACGGAGGGUGCAAGCGUUAAUCGGAAUUACUGGGCGUAAAGCGCACGCAGGCGGUCUGUCAAGUCGGAUGUGAAAUCCCCGGGCUCAACCUGGGAACUGCAUUCGAAACUGGCAGGCUAGAGUCUUGUAGAGGGGGAUAGAAUUCCAGGUGUAGCGAUGAAAUGCGUAGAGAUCUGGAGGAAUACCGGUGGCGAAGGCGGCCCCCUGGACAAAGACUGACGCUCAGGUGCGAAAGCGUGGGGAGCAAACAGGAUUAGAUACCCUGGUAGUCCACGCCGUAAACGAUGUCGAUUUGGAGGUUGUGCCCUUGAGGCGUGGCUUCCGGAGCUAACGCGUUAAAUCGACCGCCUGGGGAGUACGGCCGCAAGGUUAAACUCAAAUGAAUUGACGGGGGCCCGCACAAGCGGUGGAGCAUGUGGUUUAAUUCGAUGCAACGCGAAGAACCUUACCUGGUCUUGACAUCCACAGAACUUUCCAGAGAUGGAUUGGUGCCUUCGGGAACUGUGAGACAGGUGCUGCAUGGCUGUCGUCAGCUCGUGUUGUGAAAUGUUGGGUUAAGUCCCGCAACGAGCGCAACCCUUAUCCUUUGUUGCCAGCGGUCCGGCCGGGAACUCAAAGGAGACUGCCAGUGAUAAACUGGAGGAAGGUGGGGAUGACGUCAAGUCAUCAUGGCCCUUACGACCAGGGCUACACACGUGCUACAAUGGCAUAUACAAAGAGAAGCGACCUCGCGAGAGCAAGCGGACCUCAUAAAGUAUGUCGUAGUCCGGAUUGGAGUCUGCAACUCGACUCCAUGAAGUCGGAAUCGCUAGUAAUCGUAGAUCAGAAUGCUGCGGUGAAUACGUUCCCGGGCCU